Molecule: ribosomal RNA, 119 nt
Filed under: Petromyzon marinus (sea lamprey)
Lineage: Eukaryota; Metazoa; Chordata; Hyperoartia; Petromyzontiformes; Petromyzontidae
Source: RNAcentral
GCCUACGACCAUAUCACCCUGAAUGCGCCCGAUCUCGUCUGAUCUCGGAAGCUAAGCAUGGUCGAGCCUGGUUAGUACCUUUAUGGGAGACUGCCUGGGAAUACCAGGUGUUGUAGGCU